GUCAAGUCGAGUGCCGUAUGUUAUUGCUGCAUAGAACUCCGCAUGAUACUCGAUGAGUGAGUGACUCCAAAAUCCAUUAUGGUGGUCCUCCUUGAGGUUUACAUCUUCAAGAUUGGAUAUUAUAUGGCAAUGCGAACCACCUAACACGGACAAAAUUAAUGAACAAUUAAGAUAAGGAUCAGUAAGUAAAAUUUGCGUUUAUGAAAAAAAAAAAGAAAAAAAAACAGUCUCCGCUGCAAAAACCAGUUUCCAGAACA
This is a long non-coding RNA of Leptopilina boulardi, 257 nucleotides long. RefSeq lists it as uncharacterized. Lineage: Eukaryota; Metazoa; Arthropoda; Insecta; Hymenoptera; Figitidae. The record is from RefSeq and is a predicted model, not a curated record. The transcript has 3 exons.